RNAcentral lists this ribosomal RNA (2030 nucleotides) under Triticum aestivum (bread wheat). RNAcentral describes it as "partial small subunit ribosomal RNA". The record is from RNAcentral. Lineage: Eukaryota; Viridiplantae; Streptophyta; Magnoliopsida; Poales; Poaceae.
AUUAUUUCAAAAAGCAGCCAUUACAAGUCGAUCUCCGGGGACUGAAUUCUGAAACCACCGCCCGCCUCUGCUCCUGGACCGCUCCGCCCCCGUCCUCCCGCCGCCGGCGCCGAUGGAGCGCCUCCGGGUCGCCGUCUCGCACCGCCCGCCUCUGCUCGUCGGCGCCCCGAACCAUCUCCGCCGACGCCAGCUCCACCUCCCCCUCCCGCUCGCAUCCCGCCCCCUCUCUUCGCGGCAUCGCCUGCUCUCCCCCGCCCCUCGCCGCCACGCGCGGCACCUCCUCGCCUCCCAAACGCCCGGCCCCGAAUCCGGCCCUGACCCCGACGCGGAGGCCAGCGCUGAACCGGCCGGCGCCAAGCUCGUCCCGCUCGUCGUCUCCCUGGCGGCCGGCCUCGCCGUGCGCUUCCUCGCGCCGCGGCCCGCCGAGGUGACCCUGCAGGCGUGGCAGCUGCUCUCCAUCUUCCUCUCCACCAUCGCGGGGCUCGUGCUGGGCCCGCUCCCCGUGGGCGCCUGGGCCUUCCUCGGCCUCACCACCGCCGUGGCCACGCGGACGCUCCCCUUCGAGACCGCCUUCUCCGCCUUCACCAACGAGGUCAUCUGGCUCAUCGUCAUCUCCUUCUUCUUCGCGCGAGGCUUCGUCAAGACCGGCCUCGGCGACCGCAUCGCCACCUACUUCAUCAAGUGGCUCGGGGGCAGCACGCUCGGGCUCUCCUACGGGCUCACCGUCAGCGAGGCGUGCAUCGCGCCGGCCAUGCCCAGCACCACCGCCAGGGCCGGGGGCGUCUUCCUGCCUAUCAUCAAGUCGCUCUCGCUCUCCGCGGGCAGCAAGCCUAACGACCCGUCGUCGCGGAAGCUCGGGUCAUAUCUUGUGAUGACCCAGUUCCAGGCAGGUAGUAACUCAAGUGCUCUCUUCCUGACUGCUGCAGCACAAAAUCUGUUAUGCUUGAAGCUAGCAGAGGAGCUUGGUAUCAUAGUUGCGAAUCCAUGGGUGUCAUGGUUCCAGGCUGCUAGUUUGCCAGCUAUUGUGUCUCUGCUAGCAACACCAUACUUGCUAUAUAAAAUCUUCCCCCCUGAAAUAAAGGACACACCUGAGGCCCCAGCUUUAGCUGCAGAGAAGCUGAAGCGCAUGGGCCCAGUGACCAAGAAUGAGUGGGUUAUGAUUGGUACAAUGAUUCUUGCAGUGUCAUUAUGGGUUUUUGGGGACGCUAUUGGUGUAUCUAGUGUUGUUGCUGCAAUGCUUGGGCUCUCUAUUCUUCUCCUGCUUGGUGUGCUAGACUGGGAUGAUUGCUUGAGUGAGAAGUCAGCAUGGGAUACACUCUCCUGGUUUGCAGUUCUAGUUGCGAUGGCCGGACAGCUAACAGACCUUGGAAUUGUGUCGUGGAUGUCAACUUCUGUCGCCAAGCUGCUUGAAUCUUUCUCAUUGAGUUGGCCUGCAGCUUUUGUUGUUCUUGAGGCCUCCUACUUCUUGGUUCACUAUCUAUUUGCGAGUCAAACGGGGCAUGUUGGAGCUCUAUACUCUGCGUUUCUGGCUAUGCAUGUAGCAGCUGGUGUUCCUGGUGUGCUGUCCGCACUUGCUUUGGCAUUCAACACAAAUCUGUUUGGCGCACUAACACACUAUAGCAGUGGGCAAGCUGCGGUAUAUUUCGGAGCGGGGUACCUGGAGCUUCCAGACAUAUUCAGGCUGGGCUUUGUAACAGCCCUGAUUAAUGCUUUGAUAUGGGGAGUUGUUGGCACCUUUUGGUGGAAAUUUCUGGGGCUCUAUUGACAGUAGCUGCACUGUAAGUCGACCAAAUCUUUCCUUUUGGAACUCACUGAACUGUCCAUGGUUCCGGAAUGAUCUUCCUUUGGUGGUCUGUUGAUGAUAGGGAAAUAUAACAGAUUAUCUGUGUCAAGCCUUCGGUCAUUUCCUCUCCAUCUUGUACAGUUCCCCAUUUUAUCUCUCGGAAAUGUAGACCAGAGCUGAACAGUUUGGUGCCAAAAUAUGUCAAUCUUGUUACAGUAUUCUCUAUUGUUAGAGCACUGUUUUAUUU